CGCGGGGUGGAGCAGUUGGCAGCUCGUCGGGCUCAUAACCCGAAGGUCGUAGGUUCAAAUCCUACCCCCGCAACCA
RNAcentral lists this transfer RNA (76 nucleotides) under Cupriavidus metallidurans. RNAcentral's name for it is "tRNA-Met". It matches the Rfam family "tRNA". Rfam says of the family: Transfer RNA (tRNA) molecules are approximately 80 nucleotides in length. Their secondary structure includes four short double-helical elements and three loops (D, anti-codon, and T loops). Lineage: Bacteria; Pseudomonadati; Pseudomonadota; Betaproteobacteria; Burkholderiales; Burkholderiaceae. RNAcentral also lists the same sequence under 1 other name. The record is from RNAcentral.